AACUAACGCUGGCGGCGCGUCUUAAACAUGCAAGUCGAACGGUAUCCAUUGAGCUUGCUUAGUGGAGAGAGUGGCGAACGGGUGAGUAACACGUGAAUAAUCUGGCUCCGGGAUGGGGAUAACUACCCGAAAGGGUAGCUAAUACCGAAUAAGAUGGUAGCUGCAUAAGCAGCAGCCAUUAAAGGUGGGGACCGCAAGGCCUACCGUCUGGAGAUGAGUUCGCGGCUGAUUAGCUUGUUGGCGGGGUAACGGCCCACCAAGGCGACGAUCAGUAGCCGGCCUGAGAGGGUGAACGGCCACAUUGGGACUGAGAUACGGCCCAGACUCCUACGGGUGGCUG
Molecule: ribosomal RNA, 340 nt
Filed under: uncultured Spirochaetota bacterium
Lineage: Bacteria; Pseudomonadati; Spirochaetota
Description: bacterial SSU rRNA
Rfam family: Bacterial small subunit ribosomal RNA
Source: RNAcentral